CUUGACACGUUUUCCUUUUUGGGCCGUCCCACGAAUCUUGACACGUUUCAUUUUUUGGCAAAUAAUUAUUACAUUCUCUCUCCUACUUUAUCACCUUUAUUAUACUCUCUCUCCUACUUUAUCACUUUUAUUACCUUCUCUCUCCUACUUUAUCAAUUUUAUACUUUAUUAAUUACACACUUAAAACACUAAUCUACAACUCCUUAAUUCCCGUGCCGAACCCAAACGU
Molecule: long non-coding RNA, 229 nt
Filed under: Salvia miltiorrhiza (redroot sage)
Lineage: Eukaryota; Viridiplantae; Streptophyta; Magnoliopsida; Lamiales; Lamiaceae
Description: long non-coding RNA (SMIL_LNC013034)
Source: RNAcentral